AUUGCCCUAGUAACGGCGAGUGAAGCGGCAACAGCUCAAAUUUGAAAUCUGGCUUCGGCCCGAGUUGUAAUUUGCAGAGGAAGCUUUAGGCGCGGCACCUUCUGAGUCCCCUGGAACGGGGCGCCAUAGAGGGUGAGAGCCCCGUAUAGUUGGAUGCCUAGCCUGUGUAAAGCUCCUUCGACGAGUCGAGUAGUUUGGGAAUGCUGCUCAAAAUGGGAGGUAAAUUUCUUCUAAAGCUAAAUACCGGCCAGAGACCGAUAGCGCACAAGUAGAGUGAUCGAAAGAUGAAAAGCACUUUGAAAAGAGGGUUAAAUAGCACGUGAAAUUGUUGAAAGGGAAGCGCUUGUGACCAGACUUGCGCCGGGCUGAUCAUCCGGUGUUCUCACCGGUGCACUCUGCCCGGCUCAGGCCAGCAUCGGUUCUCGCGGGGGGAUAAAGGCCCCGGGAAUGUAGCUCCUCCGGGAGUGUUAUAGCCCGGGGUGUAAUGCCCUCGCGGGGACCGAGGUUCGCGCAUCUGCAAGGAUGCUGGCGUAAUGGUCACCAGCGACCCGUCUUGAAACACGGACCAAGGAGUCAAGGUUUUGCGCGAGUGUUUGGGUGUAAAACCCGCACGCGUAAUGAAAGUGAACGUAGGUGAGAGCUUCGGCGCAUCAUCGACCGAUCCUGAUGUAUUCGGAUGGAUUUGAGUAGGAGCGUUAAGCCUUGGACCCGAAAGAUGGUGAACUAUGCUUGGAUAGGGUGAAGCCAGAGGAAACUCUGGUGGAGGCUCGCAGCGGUUUCUGACGUGCAAAUCGAUCGUCAAAUCUGAGCAUGGGGGCGAAAGACUAAUCGAACCAUCU
RNAcentral lists this ribosomal RNA (839 nucleotides) under Corynascus novoguineensis. RNAcentral's name for it is "LSU rRNA". It matches the Rfam family "Eukaryotic large subunit ribosomal RNA", at positions 74 to 945 of the family's 3401-position model. The record is from RNAcentral. Lineage: Eukaryota; Fungi; Ascomycota; Sordariomycetes; Sordariales; Chaetomiaceae.